UAUGCCAGCAGCUAGCUCUCUGCAACUUUUACUUGGUCGCCCACUAAAGCUAAGCAGGGCUGCGCCCAAUCAGUACCUAGAUGGGAGACCACAUGGGGAAGCUAGGUUGCUGCCAGAA
Ribosomal RNA from Danio rerio (zebrafish), 118 nucleotides. Lineage: Eukaryota; Metazoa; Chordata; Actinopteri; Cypriniformes; Danionidae. The record is from Ensembl.